RNAcentral lists this ribosomal RNA (119 nucleotides) under Pteropus alecto (black flying fox). The record is from RNAcentral. Lineage: Eukaryota; Metazoa; Chordata; Mammalia; Chiroptera; Pteropodidae.
GUCUACGGCCAUGCUAUCCCGAACACGCCCGACCUCGUCUGAUCUCAGAAGCUAAGCAGGGUUGGGCCUAGUUAGUGCUUGGAUGGGAGACCGCCUAGGAAGACCAGAUGCUGUUGGUG